UGAACUUAGAGCUACGAGGACUUGGAUUGUCUCCCUCAGGGCAUCUGAACAGUCUUCCUGACUGGGGAGACUUUCCCCAAACAAGGUUCUCGCUCUGGAACCGUGCAUCCUUCUCCUGCUGGCCACAGGAUGAAUCCUGACCUAAAGGACCCUGUCCCUCCUGCGGGUUUCCAAGAGCUUACCUUUCUUCGUCUGGGCAGGUCGGAUCCCCGGCGCAGUACGGUGACCGGUCGGGGGCGGGCUGAGCGCUGCUGGUGAGUCUCUGCCCCCGGAAACCCACAGCAGCGAAUCCAGGGCCCGGAAGGUCCCCGGGUUGGGCAGGGCAGGGCCCGGAGCCCCUACAGCCUCUGCACAAUCGCGCAUUUUCCACAAUUUCUGGAGGCGGGGACAGUCCGGACCGGCAGAAAAAGAAGGGCUCUUGCACUUUCCUGCCCGGGCUGGUUCUUAGGUCCCAAGAAAGGAAGAAGCCCGCAGGAGAACCAGAUGGCAGAUCUCGCUGAGGCCUGAGCUGCCUCAGACACGUGUCCCUGGAGCAUACAAAGCAAGCCCUUCUCUGCCAGGGCCAAGGGCGCCGCCACUCAGGCGCCCAGGACAGCGCAGGGUGGCCGGAUUCCCUCACAGCUCGGCGAGUUCAGGUCCACACGGCGGAGCGGAGCGACCCGCCUCUGAAGAAAGGGCCAGGUUUGCCGAAUUAUCCAGCCGCUGUGGGGACCAUGCAGUCAGGACCGCACCAGCCUGGCCUACAGAGUCGCAGUCCGAGCUGGAUGGAGGCUCGAGUUUCCCGACUGGUCGGAUCAAAGCAGGCGGACGCAGGCUGCAUUUUCUUUCCGGCCAACCCGCCCCUCGACACCCCAGAGGACUAGAUUUAGGGAGCCGCGGUGCAAGAUGUCCCUUCCCCCCAGGAACCUGUUUAUUUGCUGAAUUGAGGAUCCCUGGGGCUGGGCUUCAAAAUAAGAGCGCGUUUCUCACCCUUUUCGCAAUUCUGGCGAAUUCCAACCUGCCUCGGGAGUGUCCCCUGCUGCUGGGCCCCGACAGUCCCUGUGGCUGGCGGGGUGGGGGUGGGUGGACGCUUUGGAGUCGCUCACUAACCGUCCCUGCAGAGCUUUCCGCGGAGAUUUCGGCCUGGACGCCGGCUUCAGGCGGCCCGCCCGCAGGAAACAGAGCUUUCCCCACGCCCUCAGCUGUCUCCGGCGCACCGCGGGGCAGCUCCAAGCAGGUGCCCGUUUGCAAGUUUGCACGCGGCGCGGGGCCUCACUGAAGUCCUGGGAACUCCUGUGAACUGGCGGUGACACCCGUGACAAGCGAGGAAGCUGGACUGCUAUGUGGAAGGGACAGCCUCAUUCCUGGGUAGAAGGCUCAGGAGUUGCAGGGGGGGGCCUCCCCUGAACUGCUCCGUUUGUGCAACCGAAGGCCCCAGGCCUUCCAAUGGUCGACCCCUCAUCGAGAAACAUCCCUUAAGCACCACCGCCCCCUCACUUCUCUGCGCUGGAAGCCUCUCCCAUGCGGAUUAGGCGGGCAGAUGUCGCACCAGCGCUGUAAACCCAAUGCGAGGCGCUUUCGCGAUCCAGCGCCCCUGCGCGCAGCGCAAGGUUGGCACCUCACUGCCCCCGAGCACAGGAGUUGAGGGCGCAGAGUCGACUUGGGGUUUCUGUGGGGUUAACAAACCGUCCUCUCCCUCUCCUCCUGCCCAACUCGCUACAGAAUCCUCCCCAGGGCAGUAACCAUGCAGUCCCUGCCCUGACCAGAAAGCGCCCAAUUUCUGGCCUGAAAUGGGAAAGGGAGAGAAGUCAAAGCCUAUGCAUAUGAGAUGGGUUCAAGGGUACAACCGUCUUGAGCUCGCGGGACUGGCUCCUGAAAAAGUGUGCCAACCCAGGGAAGCUGGUUUUCCCUUGACGGCAAGUGAACCAAUCAGAGGACGCCGCGAAGGUCCUUACGUGUUUUUUCUACGAACCUGUGGGACUUGCCUCCCAGUCCGUGUGCCGUAAGGCGUGGCCAUGUGGCCACCUGGGAACAGGUCGACAUAAAACCCCUGCCAAUGCUCUGACCUUCAGGCUGCACCCUCCUAUCCACCCCAACACGCUUCUCCAUCCUCCAGCCCAGAGCAGGCUCCCCCAGCUACAGGCUUUACACAGAGCAGAUGGAAAAGGAGAGGAAAGAUUCUCCUUUCUGGUUCUCUUGUCCUUUGUCUAAUAAAGUGUGAU
Equus caballus (horse) is the source of this 2201-nucleotide long non-coding RNA. Lineage: Eukaryota; Metazoa; Chordata; Mammalia; Perissodactyla; Equidae. The record is from Ensembl.